Pantherophis guttatus is the source of this 1799-nucleotide non-coding RNA. Lineage: Eukaryota; Metazoa; Chordata; Lepidosauria; Squamata; Colubridae. The record is from RefSeq and is a predicted model, not a curated record.
AUCUGCUAAAAGGAGAAUCAGAAGAGAGAGGUGAGACAUUCUGCAACAUAACAAGAUUGCAUAAAGAUGGAAAAUGUUUACAAGAGGAGUAGAUUGCGAAGAUGGCAGAACUCAUAGAAAUGGCAAAACUAAUUUGUUCAAUGAGGAAUAAAAGAAUAAGUACUUUUAUAAAAGACUGGAAAACUCUUAUGGACUCUUUGCUUAACUUGGAAAAAAUACGAAUUGGUGAUUUCUCAAUUUGCUGAUUUAAAAACGUUGAAUAUGGGGAAAAAGGAACCACAUAAUGUCACCUGAAAGAGGGAGGCCGGAUAAUAAAUUCAUUUGUAACUACUGUAAAGAAGAUUGGAGGUCACUUCUUUGUAUAGCUUUCUUUUUUAAUUUUACUGUUACUACUAUUUAUACCAUAAAUCUGCUAAGGGCUAAAGAUACAAAUCAUGCAGAUGAUAUUUAUUUAUUUAUUUAUUUUAAAAAAAUAAUCUUUAUUUACAUUUUCCAUUAAAAACAAACAAAAAAUAACAACACACCAUAUAAAUAACAUACAACACAAAAAACAUCACAAAUAACAAACAAGUAAUAGGUGCAACUAACUAUUCAAUACAGUAUUACAAUCUAGGGGAGAUAGAACAACUUAUAUCUCUUUAUAUAUCAAUUAGGUCUAACCGACCUCACUUUCCUUGUAUAAUAUAGUUUUCUCCAAAACAACCUUUCCUCUUUUGGUUUGGGUUAUGAUUUUCUCUUCUCUAGCCAAGUAUAUAAUUUUUCCCAGGAUAAACAUGUUUGUGUUUGGUCUCUAUCUUUUAAUUUCUUGGUCAAUUUAUCUGCUUCCACACAGAUGAUGCAGAUGAUAUUUAAAAUGAACAAGAGACACAAUUAGGUAUAGAAAAUUAUCAACCCACUGUGACAACUCCACAAACACUGGACAAUGCAAAUAACUGUAACUAUGGAAUAUAAAUCUGACACCAGCUUUUAUUAUGAUGAUUUGAAUAUAACACUCCCAGUCUGUGGUGGGUUGCCUCCAGUUUGGACCAGUUCACAAGAACCGGUAGUAAAACCAGUGGGAGGCUCCACCCACUGCCCCGGAUGUCAUCAUCAACGAUCUGUGCGAUCCCGUUAUGAACCAGUAGUAAAGAAUUCCACCUAUUGUUUCCAGUUCUGUCACAAACAAACUGGCAACAUCUUUCGACAGCCAUGCUUUUAGAAAGCCUUCCUCUCCAACUCAAGCUUUCUGGAGUUAUCAAAGCCAAGAUAGGGGAGAGUGAAAACAUUUUGAAGAAAGGAAAAGCGUGACAAGAUAAGGUAAUGCUGAGACUUUCAUUCCUUGGGAAAAAUCAAGACGAUUUCCAUCUAUUGUCUGGAUAAAGUAAAACGGAAGGCAGAAACCUGGCUGUCUUGCACACAGGUGGAUACACAACCUGAUGACAAAACCAUGCUCUCCAUGCACUCUUUUUAGUCUGUAGAAGACACUAUGUUAUCAGCCCUGCCUGGGAGCUAUAAAGGAGGACAGCCAUUCCCUGGAAGAGGUGGGGCAAUUUUUAAAUAUAUUUUAGUGGGUUUAAAGGAGUUACCGUAUUUUUUGGAGUAUAAGAUGCACCUUGGUUUUUGGGGAGGAAAAUAAGAAAAAAGCUGUUUGGCAGGUGGAUCCGCCUCCCGGAAUACCCCCAAUCAGCUGUUCCCAGAGGGGAAUUUUAGCAACAGGUUCCUUGGUUGUGAGCUCUGUGCCUUGCUUUUUUUUUCCCCGCCUCUGAAACGUCUGAAACUCUGUUUUAGAAAAAAGUUUUUUUCCUGCCUUUGAAAGCCUC